This 908-nucleotide ribosomal RNA is filed under the name Psathyrella kauffmanii. RNAcentral's name for it is "eukaryotic LSU rRNA". It matches the Rfam family "Eukaryotic large subunit ribosomal RNA", at positions 52 to 946 of the family's 3401-position model. The record is from RNAcentral. Lineage: Eukaryota; Fungi; Basidiomycota; Agaricomycetes; Agaricales; Psathyrellaceae.
GGAGGAAAAGAAACUAACAAGGAUUCCCCUAGUAACUGCGAGUGAAGCGGGAAAAGCUCAAAUUUAAAAUCUGGUGGUCUUCGGCCAUCCGAGUUGUAAUCUAGAGAAGUGUUACCCGCGUCGGACCGUGUACAAGUCUCCUGGAAUGGAGCGUCAUAGAGGGUGAGAAUCCCGUCUUUGACACGGACUACCGAGGCUUUGUGGUGCGCUCUCAAAGAGUCGAGUUGUUUGGGAAUGCAGCUCAAAAUGGGUGGUAAAUUCCAUCUAAAGCUAAAUAUUGGCGAGAGACCGAUAGCGAACAAGUACCGUGAGGGAAAGAUGAAAAGAACUUUGGAAAGAGAGUUAAACAGUACGUGAAAUUGCUAAAAGGGAAACGCUUGAAGUCAGUCGCGUUGGCCGGAAAUCAGCCUUGCUUUUGUGAGGUGUACUUUCUGGUUGACGGGCCAGCAUCAGUUUUGACCGGUGGAAAAAGUCCAGGGGAAUGUGGCAUCUUCGGAUGUGUUAUAGCCCUUGGUCGUAUACAUCGGUUGGGACUGAGGAACUCAGCACGCCGCAAGGCCGGGUCUUUGACCACGUUCGUGCUUAGGAUGCUGGCAUAAUGGCUUUAAUCGACCCGUCUUGAAACACGGACCAAGGAGUCUAACAUGCCUGCGAGUGUUUGGGUGGAAAACCCGGACGCGUAAUGAAAGUGAAAGUUGAGAUCCUUGUCAUGGGGAGCAUCGACGCCCGGACCAGAAGUUUUCUGACGGCCCUGCGGUAGAGCAUGUAUGUUGGGACCCGAAAGAUGGUGAACUAUGCCUGAAUAGGGUGAAGCCAGAGGAAACUCUGGUGGAGGCUCGUAGCGAUUCUGACGUGCAAAUCGAUCGUCAAAUUUGGGUAUAGGGGCGAAAGACUAAUCGAACCAUCUA